GAUGAACGCUAGCGGCAGGCUUAAUACAUGCAAGUCGAGGGGCAUCAGGUCCGUAGCAAUACGGAUGCUGGCGACCGGCAAACGGGUGCGGAACACGUACACAACCUUCCUUUAAGUGGGGGAUAGCCCACGAGAAAUUUAGGUAUUAAUACCCCGUAACGAUUAUGAGAUGGCAUCAUUUUAUUAAUUAAAGCUCCGGCGCUUGAAGAUGGGUGUGCGGCUGAUUAGGUAGNGGUGCGGUACGGCCACCAAGCACGAUCAGUAACUGGUGUGAGAGCACGACCAGUCACACGGGCACUGAGACACGGGCCCGACUCCUACGGAGGCAGCAGUAAGGAAUAUUGGUCAAUGGACGCAA
This 358-nucleotide ribosomal RNA is filed under the name uncultured bacterium. RNAcentral's name for it is "bacterial SSU rRNA". It matches the Rfam family "Bacterial small subunit ribosomal RNA", at positions 28 to 380 of the family's 1533-position model. The record is from RNAcentral.